GUCUACGGCCAUACCACCCUGAACGUGCCCGAUCUUGUCUGAUCUCGGAAGCUAAGCAGGGUCGGGCCUGGUUAGUACUUGGAUGGAAGACUUCCAGGGAAUACCGGUUGCUUUUGCUU
Molecule: ribosomal RNA, 119 nt
Organism: Mustela putorius furo (domestic ferret)
Lineage: Eukaryota; Metazoa; Chordata; Mammalia; Carnivora; Mustelidae
Source: Ensembl